GCAGGUACUCCAGCAGCUUCUGCCUAUCGAUGACGUUAUAUGCCUCUUCUGUGCCGAUGAUGCAGAGCGCGUUGACAGCGGCAUAGGUGGGGGCGAGGUGGGGGUGCUGGCCCGGGCCCCCCCCAAAGCCACCCUGGGGACUCUGGCAGCAGCUCAGGAACUGGCAGACAUCAGAGGCGACCGACUGGGGAAUGGGCUCCUCCAGCAGCUCCAGGCUGUGCAGGAUCCAGUAGCAGAGCCAGGGGCGGCUGGCAUCCAGACACUCAUACGCUUCGCCCAGCUGCCGGAGGCCUCUCUUCAGGUAGUGGAAGUGCUUCUCCCGCUGCAGGACGAACUGCACGGCGUGGUGGUUCGUCUUGUAGGCGUCAAACACUUCCUGCACAAUGUCCUCCACUUUGCUCUG
Molecule: long non-coding RNA, 403 nt
Filed under: Gallus gallus (chicken)
Lineage: Eukaryota; Metazoa; Chordata; Aves; Galliformes; Phasianidae
Source: RNAcentral